GAACGGUUAGCUCAGUUGGUUAGAGCACCGGCACCGAACGCCGGAGGUCGUGGGUUCGAAUCCCGCAUCCUUGUUCA
Leptidea sinapis is the source of this 77-nucleotide non-coding RNA. Lineage: Eukaryota; Metazoa; Arthropoda; Insecta; Lepidoptera; Pieridae. The record is from the annotation of a RefSeq genome assembly.